This 439-nucleotide ribosomal RNA is filed under the name uncultured bacterium. RNAcentral's name for it is "partial 16S ribosomal RNA". It matches the Rfam family "Bacterial small subunit ribosomal RNA", at positions 339 to 795 of the family's 1533-position model. The record is from RNAcentral.
CUACGGGAUGCAGCAGUGAGGAAUAUUGCACAAUGGGGGAAACCCUGAUGCAGCAACGCCGCGUGGAGGAUGACGCAUUUCGGUGUGUAAACUCCUUUUAUCAGAGAAGAAAAUGACGGUAUCUGAUGAAUAAGCUCCGGCUAACUCCGUACCAGCAGCCGCGGUAAUACGGAGGGAGCAAGCGUUAUUCGGAAUCACUGGGCGUAAAGGACGCGUAGGCGGGUUUUUAAGUCAGGUGUGAAAUCCUAUGGCUCAACCAUAGAACUGCACUUGAAACUGGGGACCUAGAGUAUGGAAGGGGCAGGUGGAAUUAGUGGUGUAGGGGUAAAAUCCGUAGAUAUCACUAGGAAUACCGAAAGCGAAGGCGACCUGCUGGGACAUUACUGACGCUGAGGCGUGAAAGCGUGGGGAGCAAACAGGAUUAGAUACCCGCGUAGUC